UCCUGCGCGGCGGCCUACACAUGCAGUCGAGCGGUAGAGAGAAGCUUGCUUCUCUUGAGAGCGGCGGACGGGUGAGUAAUGCCUAGGAAUCUGCCUGGUAGUGGGGGAUAACGUUCGGAAACGGACGCUAAUACCGCAUACGUCCUACGGGAGAAAGCAGGGGACCUUCGGGCCUUGCGCUAUCAGAUGAGCCUAGGUCGGAUUAGCUAGUUGGUGAGGUAAUGGCUCACCAAGGCUACGAUCCGUAACUGGUCUGAGAGGAUGAUCAGUCACACUGGAACUGAGACACGGUCCAGACUCCUACGGGAGGCAGCAGUGGGGAAUAUUGGACAAUGGGCGAAAGCCUGAUCCAGUAUGCCGCGUGUGUGAAGAAGGUCUUCGGAUUGUAAAGCACUUUAAGUUGGGAGGAAGAGCAGUUACCUAAUACGUGAUUGUUUUGACGUUACCGACAGAAUAAGCACCGGCUAACUCUGUGCCAGCAGCCGCGGUAAUACAGAGGGUGCAAGCGUUAAUCGGAAUUACUGGGCGUAAAGCGCGCGUAGGUGGUUUGUUAAGUUGGAUGUGAAAUCCCCGGGCUCAACCUGGGAACUGCAUUCAAAACUGACUGACUAGAGUAUGGUAGAGGGUGGUGGAAUUUCCUGUGUAGCGGUGAAAUGCGUAGAUAUAGUAAGGAACACCAGUGGCGAGGGCGACCAUCUGGGACUAAUACUGACACUGAGGGUGCGAAAGCGUGGGGAGCAAACAGGGAUGAGAUACUCUGGGUAGUGCACGUUCGUUAAACGAUGUCAACUAGUCCGUUCGGGAGCCUUGGAGCUCUUCAGUGGCGGCAGCUAACGCAUUUAA
RNAcentral lists this ribosomal RNA (843 nucleotides) under Pseudomonas sp. LV-13. RNAcentral describes it as "bacterial SSU rRNA". It matches the Rfam family "Bacterial small subunit ribosomal RNA", at positions 34 to 864 of the family's 1533-position model. The record is from RNAcentral. Lineage: Bacteria; Pseudomonadati; Pseudomonadota; Gammaproteobacteria; Pseudomonadales; Pseudomonadaceae.